RNAcentral lists this long non-coding RNA (1697 nucleotides) under Mus musculus (house mouse). Its description in RNAcentral is "long non-coding RNA chr8:66139015-66140712". Lineage: Eukaryota; Metazoa; Chordata; Mammalia; Rodentia; Muridae. The record is from RNAcentral.
GGACUUUUGGGAUAGCAUUGGAAAUGUAAAUGAAGAAAAUACCUAAUAAAAAUAUGAUAAAUUUCAUGUGACAGGAAUAAAAAAAUACAUUGUUUGGGGAGGAAAAAUAUUCCAUUCUAUUGAUAUGUGCUUACUUAACAGAGAGGGAGAAAUAAUAGAGAAAGUUCUUAAGUGUGCUGAGUUCCUAGUAUAACCAUGAACAGCAGAUAGUUUGAUAAGUUAGUUAGUCUUCAUUGCAUCGUCAGGAAAUCUCAAUAAGUCCUGUCUUGUAAAGGAGUAAAGUAUGUGUGACUACCCUGCAAAUAAAGUUGAUUCUAGAGACAUGUGCUAAGACACAUUUCUAUGAAAAAGAAAAAAAGAAAAUAUAAUCAGAAAGUGAUAAAAUGUUUUAUCUUAUUAGUAGUAAGUUUAAUUCUAAUUCUUAACUAAUUCUAGUUAUAACACAUAAUUCAAUAAUGUUCCGUAAGAUUAUUAUGGGUAUUCUAGAGAUACAUACCUCUCAAAUGUAGAGAUCACAUUCCCCAUUUUACAGGGAGGAAACUAAGUUCUAGGAAAUUAAAUAUACAUAGGCUAGGGUAGCUAUAUAAAUAUAACCUUAAAAUUGAUAAGUAGUCCAAUCCCGUUACUUGGAGUUCCACAGGACACCAAGCUUACAACAAUAGCAUAUAUGUAGAGGACCUGGUACAGAUCUUUGCAGGCAUCAUGCUUGCCACUUUGAUCUCUAUGAGCCCAUGCAAGCCUUGCUUAAUUGAGUCAGUGAGAUGUGUUCUCCUAUUGUCCACCAUCCCCUGUGACUUCACAGUCUUUCCUUCUUCUCUUCCAUGGGGUUACAUGAGCUUCAAGGGAAGGACCCAAUGGAGGCCUUCAGUUUAGAUUCUCUCUGCAUAAUGUCUGGCUGUGGGUCUCAGUACCCACUCUCACAUGCUGCUGGAGAAAGCCUUGCUGAUGGCAACUGGACAAGACACUGAUCUAUGGAUAUAGUAGAAUAUAAUUUUUUCCAGUUGUGCUUGGCUCUAUCCUAGGGCCAUCCUACUCUGGACUAUCCAGCCUCUUUUUUGUUUUUUGUGUUGUCUCUUGGGGGCCUGCUUUUUUCUGGAAGGGAAAUAAAUUGGGAGUAGAGCUGCAGUGGAGGGAAGGUAGGUUGAGAGGCCUGAGAGGAGUAGAAAGAGGGGAAACUAUGGUCAGGAUGUAUUGUAUGAAAGAAAAAUCUAUUUUCAAUAAAAUAAAAUACAUGUCUUUGCAGGUCAAAAGACUGAUAGGUAUGUAUAUAGCUAGUUGACAUAUAAGUCUGACAUAGAAGGUUCAUUACUUCUGAGUAUAGUAAUAAUCAUCCAUUAUAUUUCUGGAGGAAAUGGUAUAUUAUUAAAUAGAUCACAUUAUAUAGGAUUAAUUUGCUUCAACUGUGAAUGCAAUGCCCUCUAGCAAAAUAUGAUUGGCAUAUGAAGCAAAUUCCUUGGGUUUAAAACACAAGACCUACCUCUGAGUUGAUGACCUGUUAAAUUAUUUUUUUGUAUCUCCAUAGUCAUUUCCAACUAUAAUUAUUAAGUGAAAUAAAAGAUGAGUGCAGCUUUGUGAUUCCACAUUAGGAAACCCAACAGCUCAAACACAGAUAUGAGCAUUUAAACACCUUGUUUCUAUGUGUCUGAUGCAGCCUACAGGAAUAAAAUUUAAUUUAACAUUCCAGUAAUUCCUUAAAG